Molecule: long non-coding RNA, 259 nt
Organism: Oryzias melastigma (Indian medaka)
Lineage: Eukaryota; Metazoa; Chordata; Actinopteri; Beloniformes; Adrianichthyidae
Exons: 4
Source: RefSeq, a predicted model, not a curated record
GUUCCUGAUCUUCUGCUGAGGAAGCAAAGACACAACUGAGUGAAAUCAUGCUGAAGUUAGCGCUUGUGCUUGGAUGCCUCCUGAGUCUCACUCUGGCUCAACCUCUGGAGGAGCAUCAGAGAGUUGCUCGCUCAAAGUCAAACUCCAACUCAAACGAGGCCACGACUACAACAACCACCGCGGCAUCUUCAGCCACUCUGAACCAAAUCAUUGCCCUCCUCUUACAACGGCUCAUCGCUGGAUGAUAAAGUCUGGAAUG